Equus quagga is the source of this 1332-nucleotide long non-coding RNA. RefSeq lists it as uncharacterized. Lineage: Eukaryota; Metazoa; Chordata; Mammalia; Perissodactyla; Equidae. The transcript is spliced from 3 exons. The record is from RefSeq and is a predicted model, not a curated record.
GCCCUUCGUGGGUCGCUCCCGCUGGCCCCAAACACCCACGUGGUCGAAGCCCGGCCCUGCCGGCUGGAGGAUCCGGUUAGGGUACGUGUUUUGGCUUGCAGGGUUUUUAAUUGUCGCCGAGCGGGACUUACUGCGAGCUAUCAAGUCCGGGGUCGUACUUUGUUGAGUCGAAAGUGAAUUUUCCUUCGGCCGACUUGACGGCUGUUACACUUUCCAGGAUUACUGUAUCUCUUAGAUCACUCAGCCUGAGGUGAUCUUAGCUGUCAUCAUAGCUUCUGGAGCAUUCGAAUGGAAUCCAUUAGAAUUUACAAACCAUUAUUUAGGCUAAGAAACAGUGAAGCACAGAAAAGUUAAGCAUCCUGCCUCAGGUGAUAUACCUAAUAAGUGAUGAGAUGAAGCCGGGUUGCAGAUCCAGACAGCGUGGCUCCAGAACCCAGAACCACACUGCUGGCAGCAUAAUCCUUACCAACUGAACUCGUAGCAGGUCCAAGCUAUUUGUUAUGCAUGUCUCAAAAGGUUAAAUGUUAUAUAAGUCUUGACAGGUUAAAAUUGUGAUGAAUAAAGACACUUUACAAGAAAAAGGAGUAACCCAUAAGGAUUUGGAUUUGACUCCCUUCCAAUGCCCAGUCUUCAUAUUUUGGGGUCCUACAUAAACCUUACUUAUAUGGGGUGUGUGGCCCUUAAACAUGCAUGUAAAGUCAUCCCUUACACACCUACUUCAUCAGCAAAUUGGUGGUGAUGGAGUUGGUUGAUCCUUUAAGAUCCAGUAAGGUUGAAAAUGGUCAAAUGAGAGGGUGUAGAGGAAAAGCAUUGUAAACUAAAAUGUCAAACAAGUGUUUUAUGCUUAAAUCUAUAAUAGAGAUCAGAAAUCAGUUAAUAUACAUCUAGUAAUUUUACUCUUUUUUAAAAUGCCCCUGCUAAUGGUGAUCAGAUCUGAUUCUUAAGAUAAAAAUUUAUUGGUCACCCCAUGAUAACGUCUGGCAGCAUCUUUUCUUCAUCAACAUCAGUUGUUAAAUCAGAUUUUUAUCUGAUUUGUCUGGUUUCUCCUUUAUUCAUUUCAUUUCUUUUGUUUUAGCAUUUAUAUCUUCUGAUGGCUUGAUUUGGUGCUUCUAGUCAGAUGAUAUAAAUGUUUAUUUAUAUGUUAUCAGAGAGAAAGGAAACAGAAGUGAGAGAACGAAAGGCUAAAACCUUCCCUUCCCUCAGGCACUAAGGCAAUCCUUUAAUUGUUUAAUAAAUUUUUUUAUUGUGAAAGUAACACAUGACGAUGGAAAAGUAGGUACAGAAAAACACCAAGCCAACCAAAAAGAUGAAACAUGUUCCUACUUAACAGAA